This 253-nucleotide ribosomal RNA is filed under the name uncultured bacterium. RNAcentral's name for it is "partial 16S ribosomal RNA". It matches the Rfam family "Bacterial small subunit ribosomal RNA", at positions 524 to 776 of the family's 1533-position model. The record is from RNAcentral.
UACAGAGGGGGCGAGCGUUGUUCGGAAUUACUGGGCGUAAAGGGCGCGUAGGCGGCCUCUUAAGUCGAACGUGAAAUCCCCGGGCUCAACCUGGGAAUUGCAGUCGAGACUGUUCGGCUAGAGUGUGGGAGAGGGCAGUGGAAUUCCCGGUGUAGCGGUGAAAUGCGUAGAUAUCGGGAGGAACAUCAGUGGCGAAGGCGACUGCCUGGCCCAACACUGACGCUGAGGUGCGAAAGCGUGGGUAGCAAACAGG